CCGCAGGCUUGGUGGGGGUCGGUCGUGUAGUGGAGUGAAAGCAAACGCAAGAGGAAUUUGGAUUUAUAGUGAAAGACACAUGAAGGCUGAGAAAGGAAGAUAAAUAAUACACGCGAUCGCUCUUAGAGAAAGAGAAAGAGAGAGAGAGAGA
Molecule: long non-coding RNA, 151 nt
Filed under: Penaeus japonicus
Lineage: Eukaryota; Metazoa; Arthropoda; Malacostraca; Decapoda; Penaeidae
Description: uncharacterized LOC122257517
Source: RNAcentral